UUAAGCGACUAAGCGUACACGGUGGAUGCCCUGGCAGUCAGAGGCGAUGAAGGACGUGCUAAUCUGCGAUAAGCGUCGGUAAGGUGAUAUGAACCGUUAUAACCGGCGAUUUCCGAAUGGGGAAACCCAGUGUGAUUCGUCACACUAUCAUUAACUGAAUCCAUAGGUUAAUGAGGCGAACCGGGGGAACUGAAACAUCUAAGUACCCCGAGGAAAAGAAAUCAACCGAGAUUCCCCCAGUAGCGGCGAGCGAACGGGGAGCAGCCCAGAGCCUGAAUCAGUGUGUGUGUUAGUGGAAGCGUCUGGAAAGGCGCGCGAUACAGGGUGACAGCCCCGUACACAAAAAUGCACAUGCUGUGAGCUCGAUGAGUAGGGCGGGACACGUGGUAUCCUGUCUGAAUAUGGGGGGACCAUCCUCCAAGGCUAAAUACUCCUGACUGACCGAUAGUGAACCAGUACCGUGAGGGAAAGGCGAAAAGAACCCCGGCGAGGGGAGUGAAAAAGAACCUGAAACCGUGUACGUACAAGCAGUGGGAGCACAGAGCAAUCUGUGUGACUGCGUACCUUUUGUAUAAUGGGUCAGCGACUUAUAUUCUGUAGCAAGGUUAACCGAAUAGGGGAGCCGAAGGGAAACCGAGUCUUAACUGGGCGUUAAGUUGCAGGGUAUAGACCCGAAACCCGGUGAUCUAGCCAUGGGCAGGUUGAAGGUUGGGUAACACUAACUGGAGGACCGAACCGACUAAUGUUGAAAAAUUAGCGGAUGACUUGUGGCUGGGGGUGAAAGGCCAAUCAAACCGGGAGAUAGCUGGUUCUCCCCGAAAGCUAUUUAGGUAGCGCCUCGUGAAUUCAUCUCCGGGGGUAGAGCACUGUUUCGGCAAGGGGGUCAUCCCGACUUACCAACCCGAUGCAAACUGCGAAUACCGGAGAAUGUUAUCACGGGAGACACACGGCGGGUGCUAACGUCCGUCGUGAAGAGGGAAACAACCCAGACCGCCAGCUAAGGUCCCAAAGUCAUGGUUAAGUGGGAAACGAUGUGGGAAGGCCCAGACAGCCAGGAUGUUGGCUUAGAAGCAGCCAUCAUUUAAAGAAAGCGUAAUAGCUCACUGGUCGAGUCGGCCUGCGCGGAAGAUGUAACGGGGCUAAACCAUGCACCGAAGCUGCGGCAGCGACGCUGAUGCGUUGUUGGGUAGGGGAGCGUUCUGUAAGCCUGCGAAGGUGUGCUGUGAGGCAUGCUGGAGGUAUCAGAAGUGCGAAUGCUGACAUAAGUAACGAUAAAGCGGGUGAAAAGCCCGCUCGCCGGAAGACCAAGGGUUCCUGUCCAACGUUAAUCGGGGCAGGGUGAGUCGACCCCUAAGGCGAGGCCGAAAGGCGUAGUCGAUGGGAAACAGGUUAAUAUUCCUGUACUUGGUGUUACUGCGAAGGGGGGACGGAGAAGGCUAUGUUGGCCGGGCGACGGUCGUCCCGGUUUAAGCGUGUAGGCUGGUUUUCCAGGCAAAUCCGGAAAAUCAAGGCUGAGGCGUGAUGACGAGGCACUACGGUGCUGAAGCAACAAAUGCCCUGCUUCCAGGAAAAGCCUCUAAGCAUCAGGUAACAUCAAAUCGUACCCCAAACCGACACAGGUGGUCAGGUAGAGAAUACCAAGGCGCUUGAGAGAACUCGGGUGAAGGAACUAGGCAAAAUGGUGCCGUAACUUCGGGAGAAGGCACGCUGAUAUGUAGGUGAAGUCCCUCGCGGAUGGAGCUGAAAUCAGUCGAAGAUACCAGCUGGCUGCAACUGUUUAUUAAAAACACAGCACUGUGCAAACACGAAAGUGGACGUAUACGGUGUGACGCCUGCCCGGUGCCGGAAGGUUAAUUGAUGGGGUCAGCGCAAGCGAAGCUCUUGAUCGAAGCCCCGGUAAACGGCGGCCGUAACUAUAACGGUCCUAAGGUAGCGAAAUUCCUUGUCGGGUAAGUUCCGACCUGCACGAAUGGCGUAAUGAUGGCCAGGCUGUCUCCACCCGAGACUCAGUGAAAUUGAACUCGCUGUGAAGAUGCAGUGUACCCGCGGCAAGACGGAAAGACCCCGUGAACCUUUACUAUAGCUUGACACUGAACAUUGAGCCUUGAUGUGUAGGAUAGGUGGGAGGCUUUGAAGUGUGGACGCCAGUCUGCAUGGAGCCGGCCUUGAAAUACCACCCUUUAAUGUUUGAUGUUCUAACGUUGACCCGUAAUCCGGGUUGCGGACAGUGUCUGGUGGGUAGUUUGACUGGGGCGGUCUCCUCCUAAAGAGUAACGGAGGAGCACGAAGGUUGGCUAAUCCUGGUCGGACAUCAGGAGGUUAGUGCAAUGGCAUAAGCCAGCUUGACUGCGAGCGUGACGGCGCGAGCAGGUGCGAAAGCAGGUCAUAGUGAUCCGGUGGUUCUGAAUGGAAGGGCCAUCGCUCAACGGAUAAAAGGUACUCCGGGGAUAACAGGCUGAUACCGCCCAAGAGUUCAUAUCGACGGCGGUGUUUGGCACCUCGAUGUCGGCUCAUCACAUCCUGGGGCUGAAGUAGGUCCCAAGGGUAUGGCUGUUCGCCAUUUAAAGUGGUACGCGAGCUGGGUUUAGAACGUCGUGAGACAGUUCGGUCCCUAUCUGCCGUGGGCGCUGGAGAAUUGAGGGGGGCUGCUCCUAGUACGAGAGGACCGGAGUGGACGCAUCACUGGUGUUCGGGUUGUCAUGCCAAUGGCACUGCCCGGUAGCUAAAUGCGGAAGAGAUAAGUGCUGAAAGCAUCUAAGCACGAAACUUGCCCCGAGAUGAGUUCUCCCUGACUCCUUGAGAGUCCUGAAGGAACGUUGAAGACGACGACGUUGAUAGGCCGGGUGUGUAAGCGCAGCGAUGCGUUGAGCUAACCGGUACUAAUGAACCGUGAGGCUUAACCUU
This 2904-nucleotide ribosomal RNA is filed under the name Escherichia coli DEC12A. RNAcentral's name for it is "bacterial LSU rRNA". It matches the Rfam family "Bacterial large subunit ribosomal RNA". Lineage: Bacteria; Pseudomonadati; Pseudomonadota; Gammaproteobacteria; Enterobacterales; Enterobacteriaceae. The record is from RNAcentral.